Molecule: ribosomal RNA, 492 nt
Filed under: uncultured bacterium
Lineage: Bacteria
Description: partial 16S ribosomal RNA
Rfam family: Bacterial small subunit ribosomal RNA
Source: RNAcentral
AGUGAACGCUGGCGGUGGGCCUAACACAUGCAAGUCGAACGGCAGCACAGUAAGAGCUUGCUCUUACGGGUGGCGAGUGGCGGACGGGUGAGGAAUACAUCGGAAUCUACUUUUUCGUGGGGGAUAACGUAGGGAAACUUACGCUAAUACCGCAUACGACCUACGGGUGAAAGCAGGGGAUCUUCGGACCUUGCGCGAUUGAAUGAGCCGAUGUCGGAUUAGCUAGUUGGCGGGGUAAAGGCCCACCAAGGCGACGAUCCGUAGCUGGUCUGAGAGGAUGGUCGGCCACACUGGAACUGAGACACGGUCCAGACUCCUACGGGAGGCAGCAGUGGGGAAUAUUGGACAAUGGGCGCAAGCCUGAUCCAGCCAUACCGCGUGGGUGAAGAAGGCCUUCGGGUUGUAAAGCCCUUUUGUUGGGAAAGAAAAGCAGCAGGUUAAUACCCCGCUGUUCUGACGGUACCCAAAGAAUAAGCACCGGCUAACUUCGUG